This 253-nucleotide ribosomal RNA is filed under the name uncultured bacterium. RNAcentral describes it as "partial 16S ribosomal RNA". It matches the Rfam family "Bacterial small subunit ribosomal RNA", at positions 524 to 776 of the family's 1533-position model. The record is from RNAcentral.
UACAGAGGUCCCAAGCGUUGUUCGGAUUCACUGGGCGUAAAGGGUGCGUAGGUGGUCGGGUAAGUCUGAUGUGAAAUCUCCGAGCUUAACUCGGAAACUGCAUCGGAUACUAUUCGGCUCGAGGAAUGGAGGGGAGACUGGAAUACUUGGUGUAGCAGUGAAAUGCGUAGAUAUCAAGUGGAACACCAGUGGCGAAGGCGAGUCUCUGGACAUUUCCUGACGCUGAGGCACGAAAGCCAGGGGAGCAAACGGG